This 200-nucleotide ribosomal RNA is filed under the name uncultured prokaryote. RNAcentral's name for it is "partial 16S ribosomal RNA". It matches the Rfam family "Bacterial small subunit ribosomal RNA", at positions 1183 to 1382 of the family's 1533-position model. The record is from RNAcentral.
CGUCAAAUCCUCAUGGCCCUUACGCCUGGGGCUAGACACGUGCUACAAUGGUCGGUACAGCGGGUUGCGAGCCGGUGACGGCAAGCUAAUCCCUAAAAACCGAUCUCAGUUCGGAUUGGAGUCUGCAAUUCGACUCCAUGAAGCUGGAAUCGCUAGUAAUCGCGGAUCAGCAUGCCGCGGUGAAUACGUUCCCGGGCCUU